CUCAGAUAAACAGCAGCAGUGCGUAUGUUCUGUAAAUAGCCACAAGUGAGACCUGAAAUCAGCCUCUUUCAUCUGAAUCCAGGGGCAGCAAGCUGAGGGGUCUUUGGGCUGCUGGGCUGAUUCUAUAAGAACCCCUCUGGUUCGGAGCUGCAGGAGUCCCUCCCAUUUAUAUUGGUGUUCCUCUUUUACCAUUUUGGCUUCUUGCUCAUACCUAUUUUCUCUUAGUUCCAAUCUCAGCGAAUGGAAUAGAUUCUACAAAGUCAAGCAGAAUAUUCCCUCUUGUCUGACUUCUCACAAGUAUGCUAAGGUACCCUGUCAGCCGAACCAAAGGGAAGACUUCCCCUUCCUGAUUCUCUGCUAUCUGUCGCAUUCAGAGAAGGAC
RNAcentral lists this long non-coding RNA (382 nucleotides) under Sus scrofa (pig). RNAcentral's name for it is "lncRNA (ENSSSCG00070018143.1)". Lineage: Eukaryota; Metazoa; Chordata; Mammalia; Artiodactyla; Suidae. The record is from RNAcentral.